RNAcentral lists this unclassified non-coding RNA (151 nucleotides) under Clohesyomyces aquaticus. RNAcentral's name for it is "partial internal transcribed spacer 2". Lineage: Eukaryota; Fungi; Ascomycota; Dothideomycetes; Pleosporales; Lindgomycetaceae. RNAcentral also lists the same sequence under 1 other name. The record is from RNAcentral.
CAAACCUUCAAGCCUAGCUUGGUGUUGGGUGACUGUCCCGCCUCUCCGCGCGGACUCGCCUCAAAGUCAUUGGCAGCAGACUCGGUAGCUAAUUGCGCAGCACAUCGCGCCAGAGGCUCCGGGCCCGCUCUCCACGAGCACAGUCUCAUCA